RNAcentral lists this transfer RNA (71 nucleotides) under Cordyceps tenuipes. RNAcentral describes it as "tRNA-Arg". It matches the Rfam family "tRNA". From Rfam's summary of the family: Transfer RNA (tRNA) molecules are approximately 80 nucleotides in length. Their secondary structure includes four short double-helical elements and three loops (D, anti-codon, and T loops). Lineage: Eukaryota; Fungi; Ascomycota; Sordariomycetes; Hypocreales; Cordycipitaceae. RNAcentral also lists the same sequence under 1 other name. The record is from RNAcentral.
AUCUCAUUAGCUCAAUGGCAGAGCAUAAUACUUCUAAUAUUACAAUCCUAGUUCGAUCCUAGGAUGAGAUU